RNAcentral lists this long non-coding RNA (2915 nucleotides) under Homo sapiens (human). RNAcentral describes it as "HSALNT0352140". The record is from RNAcentral. Lineage: Eukaryota; Metazoa; Chordata; Mammalia; Primates; Hominidae.
GUGGGUAGGUGGGAGAAUGGAUGAUGGAUGGAUGGAUGGAUGGAUGGAUGGAUAAAUGGAGGGAUGCAUGAUGAACUUCUCCCUUGUUCCCAGCCUAGUCCUAGAAUAUGUUGCCUCUUCUCAAAAAUAAGGUACCACAAAGCCUCUGGUGACGGUGGAGCAAAGGAAUAGAUGGUGAAUGUCUCAUACCCACUUCGGAUCCAGAACAGGCCUAGGAGAGACUCAGGUGGGAUCUGCUGCUGAGGAAGGGGGUUGGGGCUGAAGUUGGAGGAGGAGGGCAGCUCUAAACCACCUGUUCCUGGCUCUAGGCCUCUCAGGCCAGACAGCCCCCACCCGUUUCUGCAGAUGCCCGCAUCAUGGUCCUGAGGGGAUGGGGGCUGGCCUGGAGCCUUUCCCCCGUGGUGUGUGGCUAUAGCGGGGACAUGAAGGGGGUGUGUUGGGGACGUAGUGACCACUCCCUUCUACCGUCAGAGAUCCUGCUUCCCCCUGCCCCCUGCCCCUCCUCGGCUGCCCUUCAUAACCCCCCACCCACUCCCCACCUGCCAUCUCCUGUGCUUGUGCGGAUCCAGGAAGCACCUACCUGGGCACAGAGAUCAUCGCUCGGUGCCUCGCCCCUACACAAGGGCGAUUAACUUCUCUGUUAUGAACUCCUACUUAGUAAUUCUGACAUGAAACUCCCACUAGGAUAAAACUUGGCGCAGAACAGCAAUUACUGAAAACACAUUUUUAAAAAGGUUGAUGUUUUGUAAGAGUUCAUCCUCCUCCACUCCUCAGCCUCCCUCAAGGAGACACAUAUUUAGAUCUUCUCUGUGUGAGUCUAACUUGGAGACUGUGAGUUGCAGUUUAAAAGGGGCUCUGGGGCCAGGUGCGGUGGCACACACUUGUGGUCUCAGCUACUCAAGAGGCUGAGAUGUGAGGAACGCUUGAGCCCAGGAGUUCAAGACCAGCCUGAGCAACAUAGGGAGAUGGGAUCUACCCAAAACAUUUAACAAUAAGGCUGGCAUGGUGGCAUAUGCCUGUGGUCCCAGCUACUUGGAGGCUGAGGCAGGAGAAUCAUUUAAGCCUGGGAGAUCGAGGCUGCAGUGAGGUAUGGUUUCAACUGCUGUGCUCCAGCCUGGGAGACAGGGCAAUACUGUGUCUCUAAAAAAUAAAAAAUAAAAAUAAAAAAAUAAAGGGCUCUGAGCCCAGCCCUCUGGCCAGGGCCUGGUGCAGUGGCAGAGGCUUGGGUCCCUGCCAGGUCUCCUGAAACGUCUCCAGGGUCUGCUGGGGCAGCCACCUGGGUGCUCAGUUGCUCUGUUAAACAGCAAAAUUCCCAAGUCCUCAUCUCAAUGAGCCACUGAGGCCGAUGAAGAGGGCCUGUCUCAUUUAGGACAUGAGUGGCCAGGCGGGUGCCACAGGCCCUUUUCCUGGUGACAACAAAGCCAUUGCAUGGCUCCAGGAAGGCCACAUCAUUUCCCGGGCUUCGUAGGCACCUGCGGGGCGGAAACAGUUCAGCAGGGCCCUCCUGAUCACAAGGAAGAGGUCAUACCGGCUGCUGCACGGCAGGGCUGCACUCUGCCAGGGAGCGUCCUGUGAGGGAGGGGCUGCACUGCCACUUUACUGAUGAGGAAAUUAAGGUUCAGAGAGAUGAGGUCAUUUGUUAGAGGCCAGACAGCCUCCUCAGCCCAUUUCUAAGGUUGUUUCUGUGGUAUUUGCCAUAAAGCCAUAGGUUCAUUGAUUUGUUCUUAAGUAGUUCUGAGCCCUUCCUGCAUAUCAGGCAGGGACAAACAGGAAAGUCCCUGCCUUUGGCAAGUGCGGGGGAAAUGAAAUGAUUCUGCUCAGCCUCAUCCAUUGGUCUGAACAAUCACGUCUCAUGACCGCAGGGACACGGCUUCCCCUGAACGCGGAUCCUAGAGGCCAGGCAGAAGCAGCAUGGGUUUCCACUCACACGGUAGGCGGCUGUGCAAUUUCGUCUGGAGUCCGCAGACCCCUCCUCAUCCUUCCCAGGGUUGCUCUGAGGCCAUUCCUCGUCAUCUAGGAGGGGUCUACAUAAAAGCAUUUAUAAACACCUCCAAAUGGGAGCCAGGCGUGCCCACCUUUGGAGCACUUUUCUCUACUGCAAAUUUAUCUACUGCUCGUGAAAUCUCUGGAUUUAACUCUGAUGAAAGACUGGAGGCUGAAGGAGAACUUCAAUAUCAUAUAUUUUAAAGGUUGAUUCACAGUUUGGAGCAAGAAUUAAAGAACCACGAACUUCAAGGUAAAACGGGCAACGGCGUUGGGGCAAGCCUCUCUGCAUCUGCGUGUCCAGCCUCUCCUGCAUGCCAGAAGUCCCCAGGCAGGAGUGUGGUGGGACAUCCGGCUGGGGUGAUGUAAAAUUCUCAAACAAUGAGAUAGAUAAAAAGUACGCAGCCAAAAAGUUCAAGAAGAAGUGUUAUGGAGAUGGAGCAGGCCCUUCGUAAAAACACGAUGUUGGUUUUCUGGAUUUUGGAGGCCUCACAAAACCCGGAUCAGACUCGCCCACUGCCCUGUGUCUGCCCUCCCGACCGCCUCUCCUGCCCAGCAGGGAUGAGGGUGGCAGUGGUGCUGUGUGGAGGGUGGCGGGAGGACCUGGAAGACUGCGACCAGUGAGCCGGGAGGCCUUGGGACAGCCUCUCUCUGAAUCAUCCUGUGCACUGCCGGGUGUGACAGAGGCUCCUAGAAUCCUGUCUCAAGUGGCCGCCUUCACAGAGGGAGUCACUGACGUCCCUGCUCAGCGCAGCCCUGGCAUGUGGGGGUCCCUCUACUCAUGAGAAACCCCCACCCAAUCACCGUGAGAUGAAGAAAUGGGGCCUGGCGAGGAGCAAAGCCCAGAACUGCUGCCCACCACCCUCCCUGCCUGGUGCUUUCCUGGGAACAUGUGGGAGCCCCUGCCUGGACCUUGGGACCUCCCAUCUGUA